AAGAACAAGAAGCACUGAAGUUAAAAGUUGGAAAGAUAGAGCCAUGCAUGAGAAAUCUGUUUAAAUUGUUGGUCAUGGAAGUCCAAGAAAUUCCACACGCAAUAUAGGCUAUUGGUGCCGCUCUUGAUUACCUCUCAGAAGUAAAGGGCAUGAAGACUGCACACUGGGGAUUUGCUCUCUGGAACCACUCACAGCGACUGUGAUAUGAAGUUCAUGGUAAAGGGUCCCAGUUUGACAUGAAUAUAACAGCGUGAUCCUGCUUGAACAGGCUUCAUACAUGGAGCGGGGCUGCCAUUGCUAAGGCAUAUAAACAAGAGAAAUGCAUCCAGAUCAGAUGUUUUGCCAAACAAUAUGGAAAAAUGCAUAUGUUCCCAAAUUGGAAACAACCCAAAUAUCGUUCAACAACAGAAUGGGAAUAGCUCAGUUAAAUGUUUUAUUAACCGUACAAUAGAAGAAUACCAACGAGCAAU
Molecule: small RNA, 470 nt
Filed under: Rattus norvegicus (Norway rat)
Lineage: Eukaryota; Metazoa; Chordata; Mammalia; Rodentia; Muridae
Description: uncharacterized LOC108348899
Source: RNAcentral